RNAcentral lists this long non-coding RNA (1523 nucleotides) under Salvia miltiorrhiza (redroot sage). Its description in RNAcentral is "long non-coding RNA (SMIL_LNC000475)". The record is from RNAcentral. Lineage: Eukaryota; Viridiplantae; Streptophyta; Magnoliopsida; Lamiales; Lamiaceae.
UUUUUUAGUGUGUCAUGGAAUGAUGCAGGCGUUGUCCUUGUUUUCAAAGUCGGAAGUUUUGUUUUACGGACUGAAAUUGGUGUAAUGGGGAUAGGCUUUACACCACGUAGGGGUCUUCGCACAACUUUUGAAACAACUACAGUUUGUUUUUGUUGGUUGGCAUCCAGAUCCACACCUUCAGUGAUGUAGGGUGUUUGUUCACAUCCCUGGAUAACGGUGCUCGACGUAUUAAUUGAACUUCAUGAUGGAUUACCUAAUAUUAAAACAUGUGAACAUGACUAUCUAAUAUAAAAAUAAAAAUAUUCUACAUAAACCUUUCAAAGAAUUAGGAGAACGCACCGCUAUUCUUGUCAACCUUACAAGUCUGUCGAGCUGGACUAAAUAACACCGGUGCCUUCCCUAUUUGGUCAUCGUGAAGAAAUGGUUACUUUUUGCAUGUGAAAAUGUUUGAUGAAAUGAGUGAGUUGUAAUAUUAUAUCACUAACUUACCUUGGUCGAGUUGUAUAGUUUGUGAAAGUAGAAUUUUUGUGCGUUUCUUAUCAGGAGAAACUGACGAGUCGCUCGGUGUAUCUUCAUUACAAAACAAAUUAGUAAAUAAAAUUCCUUGAUAAACAAUCCAAAAUAAGUAUCCGUUUUUAAAAAUUACCUGGAACAACGAUGGUUGUUCGACGCGAUCGGCGAACCAUUCUUGCUAACUAAGAUAAUGAGCUUUUACUAAAUAAAAUACAUAUGAAAAUGGUAUCAUUAAAUAUAUAAUGCACAACAACAAUAAUGUAUAACUCAACAAAUUGUCAUUAUCAUAUAUGCCCAAUUCAUAAAUGAAAUUUUUAUCAUUAUAUAUAUCUCCCACAUGCAGAGUGUGUAUUUUUAGCUCAAAUACUAUGAAAUAUGAUUGGUGACAUCAGCACGUAGGGGUUCAACAUAAUUUUUCAUUUCUAACACAAUAAUUCAAUGCACAAUGGCGAAUGUUCGUAGGAGUUCAACAAAAGCACUUAAUUCGAACACCAAAUGGCGAAUGUUCGUAGGAGUUCAACAGAAGCACUUAAUUCGAACACCAUUGUUCAAUGCAUGUUCUGAUGAGUCAUCACAGAACAGUAUAUAUCAUGAACAGCAACCGACAGAUCCAAAUUUUCGUAUAUAUCGAAAAUAAAAAGAUUGUUUAUGGUAGGUGAAUUGUUUAGUAUAUCAAACAAAUAUGAAAGGUAAGAAUCUACCAGAACACUUCCAAUUAGAAAUCAAUCAAAUAACCUUAUAUAAUUCUUGACGGUGUGCAAAAUCACUAACCUGAUUUGGCUGCAGGUGUUUAUUCUUUAAAAAACCAGAAGCUUUUGAUUUAGGACGACAGAAUUACCAGGAAUUUCAAAACGGCGGUGGAUGGAUGUGAGCAACGAUAGUUCGUCGAAGUACUAGAUGUGAGACCUUAAAUCUGGAUUUAUAUCUUCCCGGCUGGCCAAAAAUACGGGUGACAUAUAAUCAAAAUCCAUGUUAAUGAAAGAAGAUCGUAAGUAAAAUUGGAAUGAGAG